Neopelma chrysocephalum (saffron-crested tyrant-manakin) is the source of this 1327-nucleotide long non-coding RNA. RefSeq lists it as uncharacterized. The transcript has 3 exons. The record is from RefSeq and is a predicted model, not a curated record. Lineage: Eukaryota; Metazoa; Chordata; Aves; Passeriformes; Pipridae.
AGGGUGUCCCCCCCGUGUGGGGGGACAAGCACCCUCACCGCUGCCUUUUCCAAGUGCUUUCCCUCGCCAAACGCAUUUCAUGGACGUUUUCCUUCCAUUCCUCGUCACUUCCAAAGCCUUUGCACGCACAGAGCGGCUGCAAAGGGACCGGGAAAUAAACGAGAUGAAAGCACGUCGAGUUAAAGAGCCUCGAAAAGAUUUCGCAACGGGAAGGAGGAAGAAGCUGCGAAUCUCUGAAGUGCCGGUCCAGGGAAUAAAGGCACCGUCAUUCCUCCGGGAAGUUUUGGGGAGCCCUUCCCAACGAGAGGGGCACAGUUCCAGCUCUGGUGUUGGGCUGAUGGUGUCCUCAGGACUACAGAUGUCAUCUGUAAAACCACCGUGAAAGCCACCCCAAAGAGAUGUGUUCCUGUCUGUCUGUCUGUCUGUUAUAGGUGGUCAAACUAUUUUAAUGAAAGCUGAUCAACAGUGUUUGAAUUGGAGAGAAGAAAGGAAGGAAAUGAUAUGUGGAUAGAGAGAGUCAAUCAUCUGAAAGAUCAGUUCCAACAGAUUCAUGGAAAUUAACCUCUUUUAUCAUUAUCAGGCACUAGUGAUGCUCCUGCAGGCCCUUGGCUACACAAACAAGGACUGGGCAAACCAGGAAAAUUCAGGGGGGUGCACAUUAUUUUAGCACCCAAACUGAGUUCCAGGAGAAAAGCCAGUAUGGUCAAAUAAUGAUUUGUGUUUGUUUGCAUUUUUUGUUCAUAAUUAGUCCAUAGUGCUGUGAGUUGGCUGUACCAACAGUGCAUUUCCUGAGGGACAACUAGUCCCCAUCCUUCCAACACUGCCAUUACAGGAAAGAUGGUUCUGGCAAAAGUUAACAAUACUUGACAUAGACAUUACAGAAUAGAUUUUUAAGUCAUUGGUGUUUUAUUUGUCUCAGUGAGCAGAUCUGCUACACAGAGGUGCUUUUCUGAGGUACUUCUCAUACACCAAGAAGUGAUUCAGUUUCUCUUUAGGGUCUUCAAUGGCCUGGUGAGUUGGGAGAUUAGGGUUUUGUGUCUCGUAUUGUUUUCAUUAUAUUCCCACUGUUCAUUUUUUUAAUGCUCUCUUCAAGACCUGAUAAGGAACUACAAAGUUAAUUUUAAAGCAUUUAUUCUAGUGGUUGAUGAUAAUGUAGCUUCACAGACCAGUCAGACCUACUAGUCUAAACUUUCUCCUGUCACAGGCCAGGGAGUUUCACUCAGUAUGUGCCAUACGCAGAUCCUACUUUUUGGUGAAAGUAGGUAUUUUUAGUCUGGGAUAGAAAAAAAAAAUCUAUUAUUUACUUAAUGACUUCAAACAAGAAGCA